AACGAACGCUGGCGGCAUGCCUAACACAUGCAAGUCGAACGAUGCUUUCGGGCAUAGUGGCGCACGGGUGCGUAACGCGUGGGAAUCUGCCCUUGGGUUCGGAAUAACAGUGAGAAAUUGCUGCUAAUACCGGAUGAUGUCUUCGGACCAAAGAUUUAUCGCCCAGGGAUGAGCCCGCGUAGGAUUAGCUAGUUGGUGGGGUAAUGGCCUACCAAGGCGACGAUCCUUAGCUGGUCUGAGAGGAUGAUCAGCCACACUGGGACUGAGACACGGCCCAGACUCCUACGGGAGGGAGCAGUGGGGAAUAUUGGAGAAUGGGCGCAAGCCUGAUCCAGCAAUGCCGCGUGAGUGAUGAAGGCCUUAGGGUUGUAAAGCUCUUUUACCCGGGAUGAUAAUGACAGUACCGGGAGAAUAAGCUCCGGCUAACUCCGUG
This 433-nucleotide ribosomal RNA is filed under the name uncultured bacterium. RNAcentral's name for it is "partial 16S ribosomal RNA". It matches the Rfam family "Bacterial small subunit ribosomal RNA", at positions 29 to 507 of the family's 1533-position model. The record is from RNAcentral.